RNAcentral lists this ribosomal RNA (254 nucleotides) under uncultured bacterium. Its description in RNAcentral is "partial 16S ribosomal RNA". It matches the Rfam family "Archaeal small subunit ribosomal RNA", at positions 474 to 727 of the family's 1478-position model. The record is from RNAcentral.
CACCGGCGCCUCGAGUGGGGAUCGCGAUUAUUGGGCCUAAAGCGUCCGUAGCAGGCUUUGUAAAUCCUUUGUGAAAUCGGCAAGCCUAACUUGCCGGCGUGCAGAGGACACUGCAGAGCUUGAGACCGGGAGAGGUUAGAAGUAUUCCUUGGGUACCGGUAAAAUGGGUUAAUCCAAGGAGGACUACCAAUGGCGGAGGCAUCUGACCAGAACGGUUCUGACUGUGAGGGACGAAAGCUAGGGGAGCAAAACGG